AAAAAAGCCACCCUGCGGCCGGGGCCGGAGCUGGAGCCGCCGCUGCCGCCGCCGCCGCGGCCGUCUGGAGCUCCCCCGCGCGGACGAUGCCUGCCGUGCCCGCCUGGGGCUCGGGGCGGUGAGGCCCGGGGCGCGGGGUAGCUAUGGCGACGGCAAGCGCGGCCCGCGGCGCCGCCUGACAGGUGUGGGCCCCGGCGGCGGCGGCGUGGAGCAGCAUGUACGCCAAGGGGGGCAAGGGUUCGGCCGUGCCCUCCGACAGCCAGGCCCGCGAGAAGUUGGCGCUGUACGUUUAUGAGUACCUGCUGCACAUCGGUGCCCAGAAGUCAGCCCAGACCUUCCUGUCUGAGAUCCGAUGGGAGAAGAACAUCACGCUGGGGGAGCCCCCUGGGUUCCUGCACUCCUGGUGGUGCGUCUUCUGGGACCUGUACUGCGCGGCGCCUGACAGAAGAGAGGCCUGCGAGCACUCCGGCGAGGCCAAGGCCUUCCAGGACUAUAGUGCUGCAGCCGCCCCCAGCCCCGUUAUGGGGAGUAUGGCCCCAGGUGACACAAUGGCCGCAGGCUCCAUGGCGGCUGGCUUCUUCCAGGGCCCCCCCGGCUCCCAGCCGUCCCCCCACAACCCCAACGCCCCCAUGAUGGGGCCUCACGGUCAGCCCUUCAUGUCACCGCGCUUCCCAGGGGGCCCCCGGCCCACCCUGCGGAUGCCGAGUCAGCCUCCCGCAGGCCUCCCUGGCUCCCAGCCCCUCCUCCCUGGCGCCAUGGAGCCCUCCCCACGAGCCCAGGGGCAUCCGAGCAUGGGCGGCCCAAUGCAGAGGGUGACGCCUCCUCGUGGCAUGGCCAGCGUGGGGCCCCAGCUAUGGAGGUGGCAUGCGACCCCCACCCAACUCCCUCGCCGGCCCAGGCCUGCCUGCCAUGAACAUGGGCCCAGGAGUUCGUGGCCCGUGGGCCAGCCCCAGUGGAAACUCGAUCCCCUACUCCUCCUCAUCCCCCGGCAGCUACACCGGACCCCCAGGAGGAGGUGGGCCCCCUGGAACACCCAUCAUGCCUAGCCCUGGAGAUUCCACCAACUCCAGCGAAAACAUGUACACUAUCAUGAACCCCAUCGGGCAGGGCGCCGGCAGGGCUAAUUUCCCGCUCGGCCCUGGCCCGGAGGGCCCCAUGGCCGCCAUGAGCGCGAUGGAGCCUCACCACGUGAACGGAUCCCUGGGCUCGGGCGACAUGGACGGGUUGCCGAAGUUCCCCCGGCGCCGUGGCCGGCCUGAGCAACGCCCCGGGCACCCCGCGGGACGACGGCGAGAUGGCGGCCGCCGGGACCUUCCUGCACCCGUUCCCGAGCGAAAGCGUAAGCGACUGCGUCGACUCCCCCCCCGCGGCGGCGUCGGGCCGGAGGGGCUGGCGGGCAGGCCCCGGCGGGGCGGCCGGGGGGCCAGAGCAAGACCGUGACCGCGGCGGGCCAGUACUCGCCAGGGAUGACCAUGAGCGUGUGAUGGGGCGGCAGCCCCGGGCCUCUCUGCGGGCCUAGGCUUCUGCCCAGCGCCCCUGCUCAGGGCGAGGGGCUGAGGUCACACCUCGGGCACCUGGACUCCUGGCCAAUCAAGGCUUGCCCAGCUGGGAGGCCCCACACGAAAGACUCUUACCAUUUUAUUAAAAACGCAAGGACCUCAGAGACGUUCUUUUCUGUAUGGACCCUUCCUGCCAUUUGUAUUUUGUCCCAGAGAGAAAGGCUCUUUGGGGGGCCCCUCUCCCCAGGACGUCAGGGGGUGGGGCCCAUAAAUAAAUGGAAGCUGGUUUUGGUUUUUG
This 1797-nucleotide long non-coding RNA is filed under the name Homo sapiens (human). RNAcentral's name for it is "long non-coding RNA NONHSAT179534.1". Lineage: Eukaryota; Metazoa; Chordata; Mammalia; Primates; Hominidae. The record is from RNAcentral.